UACGGGGGGGGCAAGCGUUGUUCGGAAUUACUGGGCGUAAAGGGCUCGUAGGUGGCCAACUAAGUCAGACGUGAAAUCCCUCGGCUUAACCGGGGAACUGCGUCUGAUACUAGAUGGCUCGAGUGCAGGAGAGGAACGCGGAAUUCCAGGUGUAGCGGUGAAAUGCGUAGAUAUCUGGAGGAACACCGGUGGCGAAGGCGGCGUUCUGGACUGCAACUGACACUGAGGAACGAAAGCCAGGGGAGCAAACGGG
RNAcentral lists this ribosomal RNA (253 nucleotides) under uncultured bacterium. Its description in RNAcentral is "partial 16S ribosomal RNA". It matches the Rfam family "Bacterial small subunit ribosomal RNA", at positions 524 to 776 of the family's 1533-position model. The record is from RNAcentral.